Molecule: non-coding RNA, 73 nt
Organism: Ameiurus melas (black bullhead)
Lineage: Eukaryota; Metazoa; Chordata; Actinopteri; Siluriformes; Ictaluridae
Source: the annotation of a GenBank genome assembly
UCCCUGGUUGUCCAGCGGCUAAGGAUCUUACGCUCUCACUGCCAUGGCCCAAGUUUGAUUCCUGGGCAGGGAA